This 215-nucleotide long non-coding RNA is filed under the name Mytilus galloprovincialis (Mediterranean mussel). The record is from RNAcentral. Lineage: Eukaryota; Metazoa; Mollusca; Bivalvia; Mytilida; Mytilidae.
CUGUGUUCUCUGACUCAAUGUCAUUAUCAUUUGUCAAUCAUUAAAUCAUCAUUUCUUCCCAAACCACUACGUUCCCCAAUGGACCUAUUCAUUCUUUAGUAGUGGUAUGGGUUAAACCAAGGAUGUAAAUACACCUGGCCACCUUGAACAUGUAUAUGAGUAAACCUUUUUAAUUUAUUGAUGAUGUCAAAACAAGAUUUAACAAUUUAUUUUGA